Molecule: ribosomal RNA, 301 nt
Filed under: uncultured bacterium
Lineage: Bacteria
Description: partial 16S ribosomal RNA
Rfam family: Bacterial small subunit ribosomal RNA
Source: RNAcentral
CAGUAGCCGCGGGAAUACGUAGGGUGCAAGCGUUAAUCGGAAUUACUGGGCGUAAAGCGUGCGCAGGCGGUUAUAUAAGACAGAUGUGAAAUCCCCGGGCUCAACCUGGGAACUGCAUUUGUGACUGUAUAGCUAGAGUACGGCAGAGGGGGAUGGAAUUCCGCGUGUAGCAGUGAAAUGCGUAGAUAUGCGGAGGAACACCGAUGGCGAAGGCAAUCCCCUGGGCCUGUACUGACGCUCAUGCACGAAAGCGUGGGGAGCAAACAGGAUUAGAUACCCCUGUAGUCCCUGUCCUUAUACA